GUCUACGGCCAUACCACCCUGACGCGCCCGAUCUCGUCUGAUCUCGGAAGCUAAGCAGGGUCGGGCCUGGUUAGUACUUGGAUGGGAAAAAAAACCUCAUUAAACAUUAACCCAUUUAAGAGCCCCAAAUUUUAAAUA
Molecule: ribosomal RNA, 138 nt
Filed under: Microcebus murinus (gray mouse lemur)
Lineage: Eukaryota; Metazoa; Chordata; Mammalia; Primates; Cheirogaleidae
Source: RNAcentral